CAAGUCGGAGGAAGUGGGGAUGACGUCAAAUCAUCAUGCCCUUAUGACCUGGGCUACACACGUGCUACAAUGGGCGGUACAAAGGGCUGCGAACCCGCGAGGGGGAGCGAAUCCCAAAAAAGCCGCUCUCAGUUCGGAUUGCAGGCUGCAACUCGCCUGCAUGAAGCCGGAAUCGCUAGUAAUCGCGGAUCAGCAUGCCGCGGUGAAUACGUUCCCGGGCCUU
This 223-nucleotide ribosomal RNA is filed under the name uncultured Caryophanaceae bacterium. RNAcentral describes it as "uncultured Planococcaceae bacterium partial 16S ribosomal RNA". It matches the Rfam family "Bacterial small subunit ribosomal RNA", at positions 1159 to 1382 of the family's 1533-position model. Lineage: Bacteria; Bacillati; Bacillota; Bacilli; Caryophanales; Caryophanaceae. The record is from RNAcentral.